Long non-coding RNA from Suricata suricatta (meerkat), 1104 nucleotides. RefSeq lists it as uncharacterized. NCBI's taxonomy places the organism in Eukaryota, Metazoa, Chordata, Mammalia, Carnivora, Herpestidae. The transcript has 3 exons. The record is from RefSeq and is a predicted model, not a curated record.
CGCCAACGUCACGCCAAGUGAAAGAAGCCAGACACCAGGGCCUGCUUCCACCUUCGGCCGGCGUCCUUACCGGCCGGGCCGCGAACAGACGCAGAGGCGGGGCUGCUCCUGGGGCCAGCGCAGGACAGGCCGCCCCCUGACCGGCUCACAGGUCAGCACCCUGAAUGCCAGCAACCGCCUGCUUCAUCCUAAGGAGACAAACAGGACCGGCACCGACUCCCGUGUCCAGCGACGGGGUGUAAGAGUGACACAAAACGCCACGCGGCCACGAAAAAGAGGAGGCCAAGUUGUAACUAUGCACGUUGCAAAGUUAGUGAAAAAGCAAGUUACAGAAAUGUGCGCCACGUGGGCCCGUUUUUACUAAGAGCGUGUGGGUGUUCGGGCGCAGAGAGAAAACCGGCCGCAAAGCCCAUGGCAGGCGUGGAGAGAAGCAAACAGAGAGUCUGGAGCGGGGCUCCUGUGGCCCUCCCCGCCAGCACACCGUAGGGGGGGCCAGGACACACCGAGGGGACCACAGCAGAAAGGCCACCUUACCUCUGUGCCCUGCGUCAGCAGGUUCUGGAAGGAAGACCAGAACUCUCUACGGAGGACCUGCUUCAGCUUCCGGGGCAGCAUCUCUCCCGGGUCCCGGGAGCCCUGGGCAGAGAGGAGGCAGGGGCAGGUCUGAGGGCUGUGCGGAGACCCCCCCUGCACUGGCCGCCUGCCCAGCGUGGGCAGCAGGCCAGGCCCCUGGAGCCACAGGCGGAUGAGCGUCUGGCCACUUGGCCGUCUGGGGGCUGGAGAGACAUUGUCCAGAGCGCACUGCCCACGUCAGCCUGUGUGGAGCAGGGGUGCGUCAGGACACAGGCAUGACGUCGGGAGUGCACGCGGGCCCCGGAGCGCCUGUCACAAACACCGGCCCCCCCCCCACCCGGCCACCAGCAGAAGGGCCUGUUUUAACGCCUGUUUGCAUUCCCCACAUGCCGUCUCUCACCUCCGCUCCCCCGGCUGCACUCCCGUCCCCUCCCAACGCCACCCGCCCCAGGGACGCGGGCCCUGCACCCCCACUGCCUGGUUCCGCCGCCCCCCCCUCCACAGGAGACCCUGUUUGUUAUUAAAGUCUAA